UCCUGGGACGACGCUGCGGUCGAGUGCGCGCUGCGUACCGCUACACAAGGCCACCGAAACACCAUCCGUGGAGCUGCAGGGGCGUGUACCACUCGCAGAGGGGUGGAGUACGCAGGACUGCUGUUGACGGAGUCUAGUCGGGUAGCGGAACUGAGAAAAGACGGUGAAGUAGAAUGACAAAGGGGAGGAGAGGGGGUAACAGAAGUGUAGGUGGGUGUAGGAGAAGGAGGGGUGUUUACAAUGCCAAGAGAAAACACAAGAAUUAGCAGGAAGGAUAAUAUCAGAAAAAGUCUUACUCGACACUGUUAUAAAAUCAUUAAACAGGGCAUUUAUUAAAUAAUACUUGCAAGCAAGAGCAAUAUUUGACAACAUAGACAGAGUCUUCAAGGCUUCUUAUGGUCUUCUCCAGCGCCAAAAUAUAUAGCUGAAAGAUAACAUGAUGAAACAGGGAAGGCUUUGUGCACGUGUCCAGCCUUGGGCGAGGCAUACAUCUCUGCACCACAAGACAUCGAGCGGUCAUCUGGACAUCGGACAUCUUAUCUCCGCUGAAAGCGUCGAACCUCGGGUAUUCACCUGGCCGAAGAGGUCGCCAGUUCCUUCCACGGAGAUCAACUGAGCACCUACCUACCCCUGUGUCGAGCCUUGGGUGUCACACAAUCAAGCUGCCCUGCCUGCCUGUCUGCCUCCUAGUCAUGCAGCGGGAAAAUCACCUUUCUGAGUGAUUACGGAUCGGUGCGCACGGACGCGUCAUCACGUGGCCGAUUCGACUUGUUUCCUUUUUUCAGCCACUCACACUUGUGUGACUUGUGUCUCCUGUUGCUUUUUUUGUCCUGCCUGAUAAAAUAAAUUCACCUGUUGGAUUAAGAGAAA
Molecule: non-coding RNA, 870 nt
Organism: Gasterosteus aculeatus aculeatus (three-spined stickleback)
Lineage: Eukaryota; Metazoa; Chordata; Actinopteri; Perciformes; Gasterosteidae
Source: RefSeq, a predicted model, not a curated record